CCUACGGGGGGCAGCAGUGAGGAAUAUUGGUCAAUGGGCGGGAGCCUGAACCAGCCAAGUAGCGUGAAGGAUGACUGUCCUACGGGUUGUAAACUUCUUUUAUAAGGGAAUAAAGUGUGGCACGUGUGCCUUUUUGUAUGUACCUUAUGAAUAAGGAUCGGCUAACUCCGUGCCAGCAGCCGCGGUAAUACGGAGGAUCCGAGCGUUAUCCGGAUUUAUUGGGUUUAAAGGGAGCGUAGAUGGGUUGUUAAGUCAGUUGUGAAAGUUUGGGGCUCAACCGUGACAUUGCAGUUGAUACUGGCAGCCUUGAGUACGGGUGAGGUAGGCGGAAUUCGUGGUGUAGCGGUGAAAUGCUUAGAUAUCACGAAGAACUCCGAUUGCGAAGGCAGCCUACUAAACUGACACUGACGUUGAUGCUCGAAAGUGUGGGUAUCAAACAGGAUUAGAUACCCUUGUAGUC
Molecule: ribosomal RNA, 460 nt
Filed under: uncultured bacterium
Lineage: Bacteria
Description: partial 16S ribosomal RNA
Rfam family: Bacterial small subunit ribosomal RNA
Source: RNAcentral